CCUACGGGAGGCAGCAGUGAGGAAUAUUGGUCAAUGGACGAGAGUCUGAACCAGCCAAGUAGCGUGAAGGAUGACUGCCCUAUGGGUUGUAAACUUCUUUUAUAUGGGAAUAAAAUGUUCCACGUGUGGGAUUUUGUAUGUACCAUAUGCAUAAGGAUCGGCUAACUACGUGCCAGCAGCCGCGGUAAUACGGAGGAUCCGAGCGUUAUCCGGAUUGAUUGGGUUUAAAGGGAGCGUAGGUGGAUUGUUAAGUCAGUUGUGAAAGUUUGCGGCUCAACCGUAAAAUUGCAGUUGAAACUGGCAGUCUUGAGUACAGUAGAGGUGGGCGGAAUUCGUGGUGUAGCGGUGAAAUGCUUAGAUAUCACGAAGAACUCCGAUUGCGAAGGCAGCUCACUGGACUGCAACUGACACUGAGGCUCGAAAGUGUGGGUAUCAAACAGGAUUAGAUACCCCUGUAGUC
This 460-nucleotide ribosomal RNA is filed under the name uncultured bacterium. RNAcentral's name for it is "partial 16S ribosomal RNA". It matches the Rfam family "Bacterial small subunit ribosomal RNA", at positions 338 to 795 of the family's 1533-position model. The record is from RNAcentral.